Molecule: long non-coding RNA, 544 nt
Organism: Humulus lupulus (European hop)
Lineage: Eukaryota; Viridiplantae; Streptophyta; Magnoliopsida; Rosales; Cannabaceae
Exons: 3
Source: RefSeq, a predicted model, not a curated record
CACUUAGAGAAACAAACCCAAAAUUUAUAAAAGAAAUUAUCAUUUGUUUUUCUAUGUUUUCUUCUCUCUACCCUAAACCUGUCAUCAUCCUCUCUCUCUCUCUCUCUCUAUCUCUUUCCUUCUCUCAUUUUUGUUCUCUCUCUCGCUCUCUCUCAAGAAGAGAACCUCGAUUGAAGCUUCCUUGAAGAUCUAAGUUAGGGUUCAACAAGCUAGUGUACAUGCAUGCAAGCUACGGUUCGAAAAUUUCAAGAGUGAUUUGAAGGUGUAAAAGUCUUGAGAGACCUAGCCUAUAGAAACAUACACACUCAAAGCUUGGAACCAAAGAUAAGUGCAAUGACAAAGUGGAGCAGUGAGCAUUCAAGUCUUCUUUUUCGGAUGUACAUGUGGUCUAGCUGGGAUGUUGUGUUUUUUUUUAAAGUUUUAAGUACUUUUAAAUUUUGAGGCACACUCUAAAUGUUUAAAAUUCUUUUUUGAUGUAUAUAAUUUUAAGUAUGCACAUACUUCCCAAAAUAUUUUUAUAUGGAUUAUUAAGACAUCUUUUUGA